UAGAUGGCGACCGGCGCACGGGUGAGUAACACGUAUCCAACCUGCCGAUAACUCGGGGAUAGCCUUUCGAAAGAAAGAUUAAUACCCGAUGGUAUAAUCAGACCGCAUGGUUUGAUUAUUAAAGAAUUUCGGUUAUCGAUGGGGAUGCGUUCCAUUAGGCAGUUGGUGAGGUAACGGCUCACCAAACCUUCGAUGGAUAGGGGUUCUGAGAGGAAGGUCCCCCACAUUGGAACUGAGACACGGUCCAA
This 248-nucleotide ribosomal RNA is filed under the name uncultured bacterium. RNAcentral's name for it is "partial 16S ribosomal RNA". It matches the Rfam family "Bacterial small subunit ribosomal RNA", at positions 85 to 334 of the family's 1533-position model. The record is from RNAcentral.